CAUAUAGAAGUUCUCAGGCUAGGGAGCUGCUGUCCUGCACCACAGCCACAGCAAUGCUGGAUCCGAGCUGCAUCUGCGACCUACACCACAGCUCAUAGCAAUGCCAGAUCCUUAACCCAUUGAGCGGGGCCAGGGAUCAAACCCACGUCCUCAUGGAUACAAGUCAGGUUCAUUACCGCUGAGCCACGAUGGGAACUCCCUAUAUUACAUUUUAAAUUAAAUCCCCAGUUGGGUCACUCUGAUGUGGGAGCUGCAUACGGAAGGGUACAGAGCUAAAGUUCUAGACAAACUAAAGGUUAAAGCAAACCUACACUGAAUUUGAGAAUUUAACCCAGAUCUUACGUAAUACCGUCCUUCUUUGGAGAGGAAAAGCUGUGUGCCUAAACAAGGGUUUCAGCCUCUGCAAUUGGUAAUAACACAGAGACGUCACGUCUCCAUGCCUGGUAAUUCCGUCCAGGACCUCUUGUACGAGCGUGCAAAACGAAGUACUCAGGUAAACAAGAUACAACCGAGGCGAUGAUUGCUGCAUUUUUGGUUGAAAACCUUAUGUUUGGAGCCUAUAAAAAUGGUAAUAAUAACAAAUUUCUUCACAGUGAUGCAGCAGAAUGGAAUAGAAGUAAAGAUGCCUAGCUGUACCUCAUUAAAAGCAGUCCUGUAAGAGAUCCACACCCCUUAAAAUCCUUUUCCCCUGCGGUUCAUGAGCAUGUGUGUGCAUGUGCGUGUGUGCGUAUUCCAAGAUUCCACUUGUGAUUACAAUAUACAGAUGAAUUCACGUAUAUGUAUAUUUGUACAUGCAUGUCUUAGAUAUACAUGUAUGUACUCGGGUAGCACGUACACAAACAUACAUAUGAAUAUCUUAUCAUAUAUAAGAUACGAUUCCAAUAGCUGACAAAUCACUACCAUAGACGAAAUCAAUGCAUAAAGUGGAACCUUGGGAGUAGCUAACGAAUUAGCAUCAUUUAGUGUAAGUGGUUAAAUUACAUUUUUUUUUUCAUUUUCAAGUGGGGGUUCUGAAGCCAUGAGGACACAAUCAGAUGGAACAUCAAAGCAGUUAUGACCCAAAACACAUUUUCUAGAAAUUCAAAAUCCUCUCCAUCUAAAUCCACACGUCAGACUCUUGCUUUCUGUUUAGACCGAUUUCCUAAUUCACUGAAUUUCAAGACACAGCACGUAUAAAAUGGCCACUGGACUCACCAGAAUGUUCCGAAAAGGAAUCUUUUUCAAAAGGCCAAUUAGCAAACAAUGCAAAGAGCUUUCAGAACAGAAUGGUGCUAAUAGCUUUUAAUAUUUUAGGAAAUUCUAAGGAGAUUAUGCACAUUGCUUAUUUAAUUCUCCAUGUCUCUCCUUUUCUUUCUCUGGUUCAAAAUCCUUAUUUUGCUGCUUCACGCCAUCUUCAUAUUGUCAGUUUCAUCCUGAACUUCGGUGCCCUAAAAAAGACCUACCUGUGCCAAGGGCACUUCAAAGAAGAACGGGGCCCCAUUUCGAUUCUGCAGACAUUAUUACAACUUAUUUUUAUAGAGUCAAGCCAAGCCAAAUGGAACGCAUUUUCAAUAGCUGACAAUUACCAAAAUAGCCCACAGUAUAAAUUGUGUCUCCUGUAAUAUAUCGAGCUUCUUCCAAAAGAGGAACUAAGAGAUAGAUUCCAUUUUAGCCAGUUAGGGUAUAUCCUCAUACUUUUAAUUUUAGAAUCAGGCUGUUAAAUUAAAAGUCUGAAAACUGCUACCGAUUUGGGGCACGCAUCUCCACAGGGGUGGAGCAGACACAGUCUUUUUGUUCCCUGGGUAAAGCACCUUGCCUGGGGGAAGAAAGGUGCAGAAACCACCCAUAUUUCUCAAAACCAGGGAUUCCCUCCGCCCUGCAAGAGUAUGCAAGGCUUCAAGUCUGACUUUCUCAGACAGGCAGAGGGAGGAACCAGGGACCUGAGUUCAAAAGAGCUGUCAAAGAGUCUUAGGUAUAGGCUCCCCCAAGAAAAUGAUAAGAUCUGUGCUAAUCACGUCCUGAGUAAGCUGACUUUCUGGCCAACCUCUAGCACUAUUUUAAAGCUUCUCUUUCGGCUCGUGAGAGUUCCGUUUCAUGAUUUGCAUCUUGUAUCUCUCCUUCACAGGCAAGCCAGCUCGCUAUAUUCAUUUUUAUUCCAACAGUUGCUUUAAAGACGUCUUGACAGAAGAUGUGAAGAGUGUACGUGUAAUGAAUGAAUUUCAUCUGUGAGGUAAAUUGAUGUUAUCGUCCUAUGAUAAUUCUAUCAUAAACUUAGUCAAAAUAGACAAAUUUCCCCGUGACAGUUACUUUUUACGCAGCACCCAAUUGUUUAGAUGAAAGGUAAAAUUCUCUAUCAUCUAAUUAAAUGCUUUCUGAUUUCUUUUAAAACUGGGAAUUUCUUUUCCAACAUGGAGUAUUUUUAAUAUAUUGGUAUUUUUCAGAAGCCAAAGAAAGAUGCUCAAAUAGAAACCAUGAUGGGACGAGGCUGGUCUGUGGUCCCAGAAUCUUGCCCAAAUGACCUCUUUGCCCUUCUCCAGAGAGAACACUGCUGCCUCAGAUUUUACCUUAUCCACUAUUAGUCUGGAGGUUUAAAUGAUGAAAAUGCCAACUACACAAGUACCUAGACAGCAAAACUGCUCUGAUCAAGGAUAGAUAACUAGGUGUGUACGUCUUUCUAUGUACUCAGAGGUAACACCAAUAUAUUAACCAGUAUAUAUUAACCACCUACUACAUGCAAAUUACAUACAAGGCAUGGUGUUGAACUUCGAGUCCUAUAUAUAUGGUUUUGAAAUGUGGUUUUUUUUUGAGAAAUUAAUUAUGGGUUUUUUUAAUUCAUGAAAUCUGAACCUACAUCCUACCUUUGUCACUGUGUGACUUUGGGCAAACUACUAACAUGUUCUCAAUAUUGUUUUCCUCAUUUGGAAAAAGAGUAAAUGUUCUCCACUUCUCUCUGUUAUCUGUGGGGUUGAAUAAGAUCAGAGAUGGAGAAGAGCCAGCACAAUUCCCAGCACGCUGUAGACACUUGGAGAAUGUGAACUGAAUGAGCGAAAUAUAUGAGCCACUAUCUCAGCCAUUCACAAACUGACCAUCUACUGAGAAAUAGAAAUUAACACCAAUGUAAGUUCAUUUAGUCAAGGUCAAGAUGAGGGUUGGUGGGGCUUACAGGUCCCUUCCUCCGCAGGGUCAUGAUCAGGUGGAUGUUUGUUACGUUGAAAGUUACCAGACGCAGUUCUUCCAGGCAUCCGAACCUUUGAAUGUUAGCUAACAGAUUGAAAUAAUGCCGCCCAAUCCAUCCCUGUAAGCUCUGGGGUGUCCCAGCUCUUCUUCCUGCACACACUCUAAUACCUGCAGUAUUUUGCAGGGAGGUUCUCGCAAGAAAGAUGAGAACAUAUGUUAGCGGUCGGAUUCAUCUAAACUUCUGAUCUGCUGGGAGAAUUCUCCAUUAAGUGACGGUGUACGGGAGCCACGAGGCACACCAGCUUCUUAUUCUUUCUCAAGCAGAGGCAGGAAUAAUCCACACCUUUAGACACUAGGAUUCAUUUCACCCAAGAAAAGUCAUUUUUAAUAUAAGCUACUUCGGGAACCCUCUAAUGUUGAUAUGGCUUAAAUGGCUCCAGGCUUUGAAAAGCUACCUGCAGAAAGUGCCCUCAUAAUUAGAGCCUUUCACAUACUAACAGCUCUGAGGGGCUGUUACUGCAAAUUCAAUGUAUUCCUAAUGUUAGCUCAGCAUCCUGAAAGUAUUGAUUAAAAUACUGUGUUGUUGAAACUCUAGUAUUGUAAACUAAAACAAUAAAACAGAUACAUUUAAAACACUGAUAUGAUGCCUAGUAAGGCAAGGGCCUAAAAUUUCAUGAAGGCUUUAAAAUGUCGUGAAAGCUUUAUUCAUGAAAUCUGAUCUUAACUCCUGCCUCCUUUACUAUGCCAUGCUAUGCUAUUGUGUCUCACAUAGCCACAGAUGCUUCCAUGGAGACCUGCUCUAACCAUUGUCCCUGAGGAAAAGGGAUGCCUCAGCACUGCUGUGAAUACAUGAUGCUGACAUCAGCCUGUGCGGACCCACAGCUGAUUGGACCAGGGUUGCAUAAUUAUGGCUGCAUAGUUUCUCCAUUAACACGUUAUUGACAUUCGAAGCAAGACAGCACUUCAUUAUAUGUGACUGGCUCACACAUUACAGGCCACGAUAUUCCUGCCCCCUGUUCAGUCAUCUCAACAGUUACAGCCAUUCACAUAUUUUGAAUUUCUGGGGUUGGAGCUGGGAGGAAGUACCAUAACCAGUUGAGAACCACUGGGCUAGCCGAUGAGGUGGCCAGGUAGGGUAGGAGUCACUGGAGAAUUCAAUUUCUAGGACUUACUUAGAGAAAUUAUAAGCAAGCCCGCCCCCCACACACACAUACCCCCUCCAGUGGAUAUAAGACCUUGGACGAGAACACAAACAGUAGCUAAAUUAUCAUCUAGCCGAAAUAUUUAACAAUUAUACAUUAGGUCAACAGGCUGUUUAAUGGUCUAUCUUCCUUCCUAACUCCAAAGAAACAAUUUGACAAAUGUAUCUAUGUAAAGUCCUAGAAUGUCAGAUUAAAUUUUUGGAUUCUCAGAACUUUGUCCUUUUCUGUCAAAAGAUGGCUGCAUGGGGAAAGGCAGGGACUGCUCCUGGCUUGAGAUCUGUUCUCUCGUCUCUUCCUACCCUUUCUCCUUCCUCAUCACAGGAGACCUUGCAUGCAUGCACAUGGAGCUCUCAGCCCACAUGUCUAAAUUCUAACUAUAUUUUUACAAAGAGCUGGCCACCUCUCUGGAAGCCCUGGAAGAAGGUUCUGGGUCCUCAGAGGAGGGACUUUCAGGGACCCUUGUCACCGAGUGUGGUCUAGCAGAGGCAG
RNAcentral lists this long non-coding RNA (4847 nucleotides) under Sus scrofa (pig). Its description in RNAcentral is "lncRNA (ENSSSCG00015005066.1)". Lineage: Eukaryota; Metazoa; Chordata; Mammalia; Artiodactyla; Suidae. The record is from RNAcentral.